AUGCUACUCUAAGGGUAAAAGGGUGAGUGGU
This 31-nucleotide non-coding RNA is filed under the name Homo sapiens (human). Lineage: Eukaryota; Metazoa; Chordata; Mammalia; Primates; Hominidae. The record is from RNAcentral.